AUUGACGAAAGCGGAGAUUAAAUAUUGUUUUACGCUAAAAUGCUGGUCUUAUUCUGUUCAGUUUGCUCUAUUUAUUCAGCUGUACAGAGCUUCUAUGGAGUGUAGUUUUUUUGUUUAGACUCCUAGCAUUGAGCGGUAUUACCUUUAGAUUUCGUAAUAUUCUAGAUAGUAAGAGUUGUCAUCCUCCACAUACUAUGGAAGCCCUGCUAUAUAAUGAACUUCUAAGGAUGAGGAUGUUGUUGAAAUCUGUGUCUGCAGAUAUAAAGAUUAGAGCCAUACCCAGAGAGGUAAUAGCAGCAAAUACAUCAGCCAGACCAUGAAUUCAUGAUGACGUAUUUGAAAUGAGGACAACCCUUUUGAUGGAAUAAUAUUCAUGACAAUGAAAUCUCUAGAUAUCUGAAAUGCAGAAUAUAUAACUUUGAAAAAAAUCAAGUAGUAAUUAAAAAGGGUUAAUCAAA
Protopterus annectens (West African lungfish) is the source of this 458-nucleotide long non-coding RNA. RefSeq lists it as uncharacterized. NCBI's taxonomy places the organism in Eukaryota, Metazoa, Chordata, Ceratodontiformes, Protopteridae. The transcript has 2 exons. The record is from RefSeq and is a predicted model, not a curated record.